RNAcentral lists this non-coding RNA (24 nucleotides) under Arabidopsis thaliana (thale cress). Lineage: Eukaryota; Viridiplantae; Streptophyta; Magnoliopsida; Brassicales; Brassicaceae. The record is from RNAcentral.
CAUGAGGGUGGUCAAGAGGGCAGC